UACGUAGGGGGCAAGCGUUAUCCGGAAUUACUGGGUGUAAAGGGAGCGUAGACGGUAGAGCAAGUCUGGAGUGAAAGCCCGCGGCCCAACUGCGGGACUGCUUUGGAAACUGUUCAACUGGAGUGCUGGAGAGGUAAGCGGAAUUCCUAGUGUAGCGGUGAAAUGCGUAGAUAUUAGGAGGAACACCAGUGGCGAAGGCGGCUUACUGGACAGUAACUGACGUUGAGGCUCGAAAGCGUGGGGAGCAA
RNAcentral lists this ribosomal RNA (248 nucleotides) under uncultured Lachnoclostridium sp. RNAcentral describes it as "partial 16S ribosomal RNA". It matches the Rfam family "Bacterial small subunit ribosomal RNA", at positions 524 to 771 of the family's 1533-position model. Lineage: Bacteria; Bacillati; Bacillota; Clostridia; Lachnospirales; Lachnospiraceae. The record is from RNAcentral.